This 498-nucleotide ribosomal RNA is filed under the name uncultured bacterium. RNAcentral describes it as "partial 16S ribosomal RNA". It matches the Rfam family "Bacterial small subunit ribosomal RNA", at positions 28 to 507 of the family's 1533-position model. The record is from RNAcentral.
GACGAACGCUGGCGGCGUGCCUAAUACAUGCAAGUCGAACGAGAGCGACCGGUGCUUGCACUGGUCACUCUAGUGGCGAACGGGUGAGUCACACGUGGGUAACCUGCUCAUCAGAGGGGGAUAACCUCCGGAAACGGAUGCUAAAACCGCAUAGGUCUUUGAUCCGCAUGGCCUGAUGGGGAAAAGCGGCGGAAGCUUCUGCUGUCGGAUGGACCCGCGGUGCUGUAGCUAGUUGGUGAGGUCACGGCUCACCAAGGCCGUGAUGCAUAGCCGACCUGAGAGGGUGGUCGGCCACAUUGGGACUGAGACACGGCCCAAACUCCUGCGGGAGGCAGCAGUAGGGAAUCUUCCGCAAUGGACGCAAGUCUGACGGAGCAACGCGGAGUGAGUGGAAAAGGUGUUCGGAUCGUAAAACUCUGUUGUGAGAGAAGAACAAGUGCUAGAGUAACUGUUAGCGCCUUGACGGUAUCGAACCAGAAAGCCACGGCUAACUACGUG